CCUACGGGAGGCAGCAGUGAGGAAUAUUGGUCAAUGGUCGGGAGACUGAACCAGCCAAGCCGCGUGAGGGAUGAAGGUACAGAGUAUCGUAAACCUCUUUUGUCAGGGAACAAAGGCGGGGACGCGUCCCCGGAUGAGUGUACCUGAAGAAAAAGCAUCGGCUAACUCCGUGCCAGCAGCCGCGGUAAUACGGAGGAUGCGAGCGUUAACCGGAUUUAUUGGGUUUAAAGGGUGCGCAGGCGGUUCGUUAAGUCAGCGGUGAAAGCCCGGGGGUCAACCCCGGCCCGGCGGUGGAACCUGGCAGUCUCGAGUUGGAGAGAAGUAUGCGGAAUGCGCGGUGUAGCGGUGAAAUGCAUAGAUAUCGCGCAGAACUCCGAUUGCGAAGGCAGCAUGCUGGCUCCACACUGACGCUGAGGCACGAAAGCGUGGGUAUCGAACAGGAUUAGAUACCCUUGUAGUC
This 460-nucleotide ribosomal RNA is filed under the name uncultured bacterium. Its description in RNAcentral is "partial 16S ribosomal RNA". It matches the Rfam family "Bacterial small subunit ribosomal RNA", at positions 338 to 795 of the family's 1533-position model. The record is from RNAcentral.